RNAcentral lists this ribosomal RNA (492 nucleotides) under uncultured bacterium. RNAcentral describes it as "partial 16S ribosomal RNA". It matches the Rfam family "Bacterial small subunit ribosomal RNA", at positions 28 to 523 of the family's 1533-position model. The record is from RNAcentral.
GACGAACGCUGGCGGCGUGCUUAACACAUGCAAGUCGAACGCUGAAGCCCUUUCGGGGGUGGAUGAGUGGCGAACGGGUGAGUAACACGUGGGUAAUCUGCCCUGUACUUCGGGAUAAGCCUUGGAAACGGGGUCUAAUACCGGAUAGGACCUGUCCUCGCAUGGGGGUGGGUGGAAAGUUCCGGCGGUAUGGGAUGAGCCCGCGGCCUAUCAGCUGGUUGGUGGGGUAGUGGCCUACCAAGGCGACGACGGGUAGCCGGCCUAGAGGGUGGCCGGUCACACUGGGACUGAGACACGGCCCAGACUCCUACGGGAGGCAGCAGUGGGGAAUCUUGCGCAAUGGGCGAAAGCCUGACGCAGCAACGCCGCGUGGGGGAUGACGGCCUUCGGGUUGUAAACCUCUUUCGACAUCGACGAAGGGGCCCUGUUGUGGGGUUUUGACGGUAGGUGUAGAAGAAGCACCGGCUAACUACGUGCCAGCAGCCGCCGUAA